UACGAGGGGGGCAAGCGUUGUUCGGAAUUAUUGGGCGUAAAGCGCACGUAGGCGGUUCGUUAUGUCGGAUGUGAAAGCCCUUGGCUUAACCGAGGAAGUGCAUCCGAAACUGGCGAGCUAGAGUACGAAAGAGGAUCGCGGAAUUCCCGGUGUAGAGGUGAAAUUCGUAGAUAUCGGGAGGAACACCGGUGGCGAAGGCGGCGAUCUGGGUCGAUACUGACGCUGAGGUGCGAAAGCGUGGGGAGCAAACAGG
This 253-nucleotide ribosomal RNA is filed under the name uncultured bacterium. Its description in RNAcentral is "partial 16S ribosomal RNA". It matches the Rfam family "Bacterial small subunit ribosomal RNA", at positions 524 to 776 of the family's 1533-position model. The record is from RNAcentral.